RNAcentral lists this ribosomal RNA (497 nucleotides) under uncultured bacterium. Its description in RNAcentral is "partial 16S ribosomal RNA". It matches the Rfam family "Bacterial small subunit ribosomal RNA", at positions 28 to 507 of the family's 1533-position model. The record is from RNAcentral.
GAUGAACGCUGGCGGCGUGCCUAAUACAUGCAAGUCGAGCGAACGGACGAGAAGCUUGCUUCUCUGAUGUUAGCGGCGGACGGGUGAGUAACACGUGGAUAACCUACCUAUAAGACUGGGAUAACUUCGGGAAACCGGAGCUAAUACCGGAUAAUAUUUUGAACCGCAUGGUUCAAAAGUGAAAGACGGUCUUGCUGUCACUUAUAGAUGGAUCCGCGCUGCAUUAGCUAGUUGGUAAGGUAACGGCUUACCAAGGCAACGAUGCAUAGCCGACCUGAGAGGGUGAUCGGCCACACUGGAACUGAGACACGGUCCAGACUCCUACGGGAGGCAGCAGUAGGGAAUCUUCCGCAAUGGGCGAAAGCCUGACGGAGCAACGCCGCGUGAGUGAUGAAGGUCUUCGGAUCGUAAAACUCUGUUAUUAGGGAAGAACAUAUGUGUAAGUAACUGUGCACAUCUUGACGGUACCUAAUCAGAAAGCAACGGCUGACUACGUG